This 531-nucleotide long non-coding RNA is filed under the name Nicotiana benthamiana. Its description in RNAcentral is "long non-coding RNA (NBEN_LNC042648)". The record is from RNAcentral. Lineage: Eukaryota; Viridiplantae; Streptophyta; Magnoliopsida; Solanales; Solanaceae.
CCGGUGGGCCGUGGCAAUUAAAAGUUGUAUAGGUGCAACCACAAUAUCUACUCUCUCGUCAAAGAAAAUUUUGCAAGUACAAAAGAUGUUUAGUGCCAGUGGCAAUUAAAUUUGUAUUAAGGUUGGGGCGUAGAUGGAUGGGGUUAGAUUGGCUUUUAUUAAAAUUAAACUAAAUUAACUAUAUUAGUUUGAAUUGGUUCGAUUUUGUUAGAUUUUUAAAUUAUUUCUUACAUGAAUAUUAUUUCAAUCUUACUUUAUUAAAGUUAUAAAUAUAAUUUUGAUAAGUAAAUAUAUGUUACAUAAAUAUAAAAAAAAUUGACAAACACAUUGAUCUAUUAAAAUAUUCUAAUGGGAGAAUUGUUUUAGUAACAUAUGAUAGUUAUUUUCUUAGUCGUCUAACAAAAAUUUUUCGUUAAUGUAUGCUUUCAAGAUUAACACAUAAUAGGAUCCCAAACAUUUCUAUAUUAUUAAAGAAAAUUUAAUAUAAAGUCUUAAGAAUAUAUAUAUAUAUAUAUAUAUAUAUAUAUAUGU